RNAcentral lists this ribosomal RNA (174 nucleotides) under uncultured bacterium. RNAcentral describes it as "partial 16S ribosomal RNA". It matches the Rfam family "Bacterial small subunit ribosomal RNA", at positions 335 to 526 of the family's 1533-position model. The record is from RNAcentral.
ACUCCUACGGGAGGCAGCAGUAGGGAAUAUUGGACAAUGGGCGAAAGCCUGAUCCAGCAACUCCGCGUGAAUGAUGAAGGCCUUCGGGUUGUAAAGUUCUUUUAGAGGGGAAGAUAAUGACGGUACCCUCAGAAUAAGCACCGGCUAACUUCGUGCCAGCAGCCGCGGUAAUAC